UACGAAGGGGGCUAGCGUUGCUCGGAAUUACUGGGCGUAAAGGGCGCGUAGGCGGCCAGAUUAGUCAGGCGUGAAAGCCCUGGGCUCAACCUGGGGACUGCGCUUGAUACGGUUUGGCUUGAGGACGGAAGAGGCUCGCGGAAUUCCCAGUGUAGAGGUGAAAUUCGUAGAUAUUGGGAAGAACACCGGUGGCGAAGGCGGCAAGCUGGUCCGUACCUGACGCUGAGGUGCGAAAGCGUGGGGAGCAAACAGG
Molecule: ribosomal RNA, 253 nt
Filed under: uncultured bacterium
Lineage: Bacteria
Description: partial 16S ribosomal RNA
Rfam family: Bacterial small subunit ribosomal RNA
Source: RNAcentral